This 773-nucleotide long non-coding RNA is filed under the name Prunus dulcis (almond). Its description in RNAcentral is "sRNA ncRNA". The record is from RNAcentral. Lineage: Eukaryota; Viridiplantae; Streptophyta; Magnoliopsida; Rosales; Rosaceae.
GAAACUCUUUCUCCAAUAACAUACCAAAAUAAGCUCCAAUAUCAGACUCAGGCACAUCUAUGGAGUGCAAUCUUGAACUGUCUAUUGCAGAAGCCACAACACCAACAGUGCAUUCAGAUGUUUAAAAUAUUACCAUACUUAAAUAUACAGAGGCCAGAAAAUUCCAUGUUAAGCCACAAUGUGGAACUAGAAAACCUAUGAUGCAUGCAAGGUUGAAAAAAUGAUAGUCAAAAUCUACGGAAUAUUGGUGGAAAUAUCUAUAUAAAUCAUGAGAAUCAUGGAAAUUUUGAAGUAAAACUUUCAGGAAACGUGGAACUAUUCAAUAAUGCACCUAUUAAAUAUGGUAUUUAAUAGGUGCAUUAUUGAUGGAGGAGAUAUCAAACUUGUUGAGGCCGCUGGAGGAGGUGAGAUUAUUUCCAUACAAAGAAGAUGCAAGAAGAUGGUCCUUAGAGCCUUCAGGGAAAUUUUCUUGUAAAUCCUACUUAAAUCGAUUGAGAAACAUACCAGGUAGUCCACCGUUUCUCCCUUAAAGUCUGAUUUGGAAAUCCAAGGUUCCUCCCAAGAUUAAGGUUUUGGCUUAGUUGGUGGUACAAGGGAUAUUAGCUUUUGGUAGGAAUAGGAAGUCCGAAACAAGUGAAAGAGACAGAGACAGAGAGAGAAAUCCGCUUUAAAUUCCAACAAAAUUCACCAAACUCUAUUACUCUAUGUAUGUCUUUCAAAGUCGAUGACAUUUUGAAUACAUGGCGUCUUUAAUAAUUUGGUUUGAAUAUGCC